CUGGGCAAUGAAAUUGCACAAAAAUAUUCUUCGGAUGGGGCCAAACAGAAGAGAAGUUUGAAAUCAUUGUUAGUGGCCAAAAGCAAUUUUAGACUCCAUGAAAGGUCAAUUUCAAGAGUCAAAAGAAACCAAAAUUAUCAAUAUAAUUAAAAUAUGGCUUGUAAAACAAAA
Molecule: long non-coding RNA, 171 nt
Organism: Sitophilus oryzae (rice weevil)
Lineage: Eukaryota; Metazoa; Arthropoda; Insecta; Coleoptera; Curculionidae
Exons: 2
Source: RefSeq, a predicted model, not a curated record